GUGAGGAAUAUUGGUCAAUGGACGAGAGUCUGAACCAGCCAAGUCGCGUGAAGGAAGACGGUUCUAUGAAUUGUAAACUUCUUUUGUGCAGGAAUAAAGUGGGUUACGUGUAACCUUUUGUAUGUACUGUACGAAUAAGGAUCGGCUAACUCCGUGCCAGCAGCCGCGGUAAUACGGAGGAUCCGAGCGUUAUCCGGAUUUAUUGGGUUUAAAGGGUGCGUAGGUGGAUUGAUAAGUCAGCGGUGAAAGUUUGCAGCUUAACUGUAAAAUUGCCGUUGAAACUGUCGGUCUUGAGUGCAAAUGAGGUAAGCGGAAUGUGUUGUGUAGCGGUGAAAUGCUUAGAUAUAACACAGAACUCCGAUUGCGAAGGCAGCUUACUGGGAUGCAACUGACACUGAUGCACGAAAGCGUGGGUAUCGAACAGGAUUAGAUACCCUGGUAGUCC
This 445-nucleotide ribosomal RNA is filed under the name uncultured bacterium. RNAcentral describes it as "partial 16S ribosomal RNA". It matches the Rfam family "Bacterial small subunit ribosomal RNA", at positions 354 to 796 of the family's 1533-position model. The record is from RNAcentral.